Molecule: ribosomal RNA, 468 nt
Filed under: uncultured bacterium
Lineage: Bacteria
Description: partial 16S ribosomal RNA
Rfam family: Bacterial small subunit ribosomal RNA
Source: RNAcentral
GACGAACGCUGGCGGCGUGCCUAACACAUGCAAGUCGAACGGAAAGGCCCUGCUUUUGUGGGGUGCUCGAGUGGCGAACGGGUGAGUAACACGUGAGUAACCUGCCCUUGACUUUGGGAUAACUUCAGGAAACUGGGGCUAAUACCGGAUAGGAGCUCCUGCUGCAUGGUGGGGGUUGGAAAGUUUCGGCGGUUGGGGAUGGACUCGCGGCUUAUCAGCUUGUUGGUGGGGUAGUGGCUUACCAAGGCUUUGACGGGUAGCCGGCCUGAGAGGGUGACCGGCGACAUUGGGACUAAGGGACGGACCAGACUCGUACGGGAGGCAGCAGGGGGGAAUAUUGCACAGUGGGGUGGAGCCUGAUGCAGCAGCGCCGCGUGCGGGAUGACGGCUUUCGGGUUGUAAACCGCUGUCGCCUGUGACGAAGCGUGAGUGACGGUAAUGGGUAAAGAAGCACCGGCUAACUACGUG